This 628-nucleotide long non-coding RNA is filed under the name Lonchura striata (white-rumped munia). RNAcentral describes it as "domestica (Bengalese finch) lncRNA (ENSLSDG00000015451.1)". Lineage: Eukaryota; Metazoa; Chordata; Aves; Passeriformes; Estrildidae. The record is from RNAcentral.
ACCCGCUGCCAGGGCUCCAGUCAAGGAACUCCUUGCAUUGCUCUAAACACAUCCUAGGGGCUCCUGCCCCCCUCAACAUGCCAGCAUGCCUGGAUCCCUAAGAUCAGUGAGGUUUCCAGACUUCCUCCGUCUUUUUGUCCUGCACGAAAGCGCUUUGCUGGGUGCGCAAGUGUGCGUGUGAGGAGCGGAGAGGAGCGCCGGGAGGGAGAUUGGGACAAUAGCUGGAGUGGAUUACUCAUUCCCGUAGGCAAUACUUGCCUGUAUGGGCUUCAGGAUGCAGUUGGAAGCUUGGGAACAAAGCGGGCAUCGAAUGUCAAGGAUCCUUUUGAGGAAGAAAUAGUUCUGCUAGGACUCCAUACUUGGACUUUGGAGGGCAUGGCACAGCGGUCUGAUAUGAGAGCACUAUCCCUGCAGAUGGAAACUGUCCUCUGUAUCCUGCGCCCUGCAAGAGAGGCAGCGAGGGGACACUUGAAGUAACCAAGCAUCUGGCAUCAAGCCUGACAAUCCACUUCACACUAUGUGAAGGAAAGUUUGUUCCAAACCACAUACUUUGUGGUGCUCAAUACUGGUGUCAAACUGGUUUGAACUGUCCCAGGUCUAAAAUAAAUAUCUCCAUUAUGGUAUGACA